Molecule: long non-coding RNA, 405 nt
Organism: Nematolebias whitei (Rio pearlfish)
Lineage: Eukaryota; Metazoa; Chordata; Actinopteri; Cyprinodontiformes; Rivulidae
Exons: 3
Source: RefSeq, a predicted model, not a curated record
AGACGUGCAGACGGUGUGAGGAGCGUGGAAAAGUAGCAGCUUCAUCUUCUGACACGUUUCUGUUCAGUAGGACCCAUCAGGAGUUGACAUCUAUACUGGACACAAGUGGAGCGUUUCAGAAUGAGCAAGAGGGGGAAGAGAAGGAACAGCAACCGGAGGAAGAGCUCCAGCAGCAGCAAACAAAGUCCCUCACCUUUCACCAUUCCAAUGCUGAACCCAAGUAAUACUGUCAGUUACAAAGAGGACACAGUGGAAAAGGGUGAAACCGACACUCUUCGAAAGGAAACUGUUCGAUCAAAAUUUGAAGAUAAAGAGCACGCAUGCAAAGAAAACAAAUACAAACAAGAGUACAGCGUUGAUUUUCCUCCAGGACAACGAAACUUUUACACCAAAACUACAGAGGCU